GACGUCGAUAUACGACGUCAUAAACACGGUCAACUUUGGUGUUUAUGACGUCAAUAUUCGACGUCAUAAACACGAUCAACUUUGGUGUUUAUGACGUCGAUAUUCGACGACAUAAACACGAUCAACUUUGGUGUUUAUGACGUCGAUAUACGACGUCAUAAACACGGUCAACUUUGGUGUUUAUGACGUCGAUAUACGACGUCAUAAACACGAUCAACUUUGGUGUUUAUGACGUCGAUAUUCGACGUC
Molecule: non-coding RNA, 249 nt
Organism: Paramuricea clavata
Lineage: Eukaryota; Metazoa; Cnidaria; Anthozoa; Malacalcyonacea; Plexauridae
Source: the annotation of a GenBank genome assembly